Molecule: long non-coding RNA, 1076 nt
Filed under: Betta splendens (Siamese fighting fish)
Lineage: Eukaryota; Metazoa; Chordata; Actinopteri; Anabantiformes; Osphronemidae
Description: lncRNA (ENSBSLG00000023301.1)
Source: RNAcentral
CAUAAGUCAACUUAAGAAUCUGGUUCUAGUCGGUCAGAGGAGUUGUUGUUGGGUGGUGUCAGUCUCCAUCUAGUGGCGCUCAUCAGCAGAGAACAGAAACAUUUAUUUAUGAGAACAAAGUACUUUAACACUACAGAGAAAUACAGAAUGUAACACAGCAAAGUCCAUAACAGUAAAUACAAGCAGGUCAUAUUUUUAUACUAGAAAUAAGAUGAUAUUAGCACCAUGCAGGACUACACAAGUCAAUAUGGAGGAACUACAGGAGAUGUUUGAACAAGCUUUAGGAAAAAUACAAAGAAAUAAAAUGUCAAAUAGCAAGUUUUUAAAUGAAUACAUGGAAACCGGUGCUACCGAUGCUAUGUAACAGUACUAAAAGCCCUGACCCUUAUUAAUCCUCUCUAGGUAUAACAGUUUUAGUACAAACACAGGUUCUAAGUGCUUCACAGUAAAGGCCCCAUUUGUCCACUUUUCAAGCAUUCCCUCCUACUGUCUUUACCAGCAUUUAAUAAGCGAGCACCCAGACUGGUGGUGGUAGUCGUGUUGAAUGGUCUCCAGCACCUCCCUCACCUGCCCUUUAGGAAGGCCUUUCCACUUGAGCAGGGCAGGCAGGAGCUCUGGGUCCUUGCUGCAGUCAAGAACGAAAGGAGAGUUAGACAGGUGCAGUUACACCAGUGUACCACCAGAGGCAGGCUCAACAGUCUUCCUGGAUGGUCGCAGCUGUGAGCUUCAGCGCCUCGUUGCACUCGCAGUCCAACAGCUCCUUGACCUUCAGCAGUAGUCGGUUCUGCUGUGGAACAUCAGGGGCCUGAGGCAGAACAUGCAGGUCAGAAGCGUGUGCAGGUAAAAGUGGGAAACGAGGCAUCUCCAUGCUGAUCUCACCAGCUCUGACAUGAUGCUGUGAAUUCCAUGAGCAUCUUCACCGAUGGUUUUGCUGACGUCAGGAUUCCAACAACUCUCCAGUUGACGCUUGUUGGUCUUGAUCAGAUGUUUGACAUAAAUCUGAACUAUGAGCUUGUAGGCCUUGUUCAAAACCCUCUGAAAAUAUAGAAGCUAAAAUAAAACAUGUUGCAAAUGCA